This is a long non-coding RNA of Oryzias melastigma (Indian medaka), 1795 nucleotides long. RefSeq lists it as uncharacterized. The record is from RefSeq and is a predicted model, not a curated record. The transcript is spliced from 3 exons. NCBI's taxonomy places the organism in Eukaryota, Metazoa, Chordata, Actinopteri, Beloniformes, Adrianichthyidae.
GAGACAUUUGGAGUCAGAAAGAGAAGGAUGGCUCUUCCACAUGAGAGGGGACUCCAAACUCCAGAGAGGUGGUGGCAGGGGGGGGAAAUAAACUCAAGAGGAAGAAAGAGGGGUCCAGUAAUGAGAGGGGAGUUCAAGGUCGUGUUGAGGAGUGAGGAGGAUUGUCCGUCCCAAAGACAAAAGAGACUUCCUUGGAGUUCAGAGUCUUUUUAUCAGUGUGUGUGUGAGCUGAGUGGGUGGUAGAUACAUUGAACGGAUGGUGGGGGGGCGGAUUCAAAUUCAAAUGGGCUCACUCUGUGGUCCGGCUGUGUCAAAUCUACAAGUUCAGUUGUAAUGAACUGGAAUGUGAAUGAAGUGCAUUCAAGAUGUAUUGUGUGGCGUUCAAGAGUGCAGACUUGAAAACCUUUAAGGGUGGUGUGACUCCAUCUCCCACAUGCAAGCAGGGACCCCAUAAGAGCACCUCAAACAUGCCCCCGCCCCUGGAUUUUUUUUUAAGUUUCCAGGAAAGUGAAAAUGUUGCGUUCAAGUGACUCCUUCACGGAGCUCAUCGUGGAAUUUGGGCAAAGUUGUACAGUGUUUUUGGCAGUGAGCGUGGAGGCGGGGCGGCUCAUGUCCGAGACUCCGCUAAAAUAAACCUGCAUGAGGGAGGAGAGCGCAGGGAGGGAGGCGAGGAGGAAGCAGCGGGGACAGGAGGGAAACACGCUCCGCUUUAACGGCAGGAAAAAACUGCGCAGUUUCUUUGCGGAGUCCCGGAUCCUUCCUCUGGGUGUCCGUGUGUUUCCGGGAUCCGUGGAUGGAUUGUUUGAAGGCCAACUCAGGGAUGAGGUGUUUGCACCUCCACGCAGCUAAGGAUUUUUUUUUUUUUUUUUGGGAGGGGGGCUCCAAAGUGUCUGCGUCAUCCACGGCCAACCAUGAAGAUGGACCGCUUCACCUCCUUUUCUGCUCAGAAACAUUAAGGUGAGGACAUGCCUCAUGGAGAGGCGCCUCCAUUGAAAACAGCAGAAACGUUUCCCCGCAUCAGGAUUACCGGCGUUGACCAAACUGUGCGGGGAACCCGGGAAAAUGUUGCGGGUUAUGUAAUUAUCCCCACUAACUUUACGUCUUUGGGAUUUUGGAGCCGAAUCGGGGAGCUGCGGGUGUCACGUCAUUUUACGGCAGGAAAAGGAGUUUACAGGAACGAGCUGCUGAUGUCGCAAUCGGCUCGUGUUGUGGCUCACGCGCCGCUAUCAAAAUCUCCCCCGUGGGUGUGUGAUGCGCCGCGGCCAACCGCCAAGGUGUCGGGGGGCGAGAGAGCGGCCUUCCGCCUGGAACGCGUUUUGGUGGAAGUUGUGUGCUUUUUUUUCCCUUUUUCUUUUUUUGAAGUGUCAUGCGGGGAAAUUGUGGCGGGUUCGUUGCCGUUUCCAGGAAGAGCGUUUGAAUUUUUUUUCCCUGUGAUUUUUUUUUCUGUCUCCACCCCUCUUGCUGCACGAGGCGCACUUCUACUUUUUGCCACAAGAUGGGGGCCGAGGACAACAGAUUACGCUAAUAUGACAUCACCCAUCGGUCAAGAAACUUCCGGGACACUUCCAGAGUACUGGAUCUUGGAAUCUGGAGCCAUCUCCCUAAUUCCUAACUACUAAAAAACGACAUAGUGUGGGAUUAUCCAGUGAGAUGGAUUUUAAAAGCGAUUCAUACACAAUGCUCAUUACUUUUUGUUUUUAACUGCGAAUAUCAAAACACUUAGCAAUACAAGCACUUUACAAAGAUUAUUUAUGAAUUCACUCUGUUCUGAUGAAGAAAAUAUGGAUGUUUUUUU